This 465-nucleotide ribosomal RNA is filed under the name Vreelandella stevensii. Its description in RNAcentral is "partial 16S ribosomal RNA". It matches the Rfam family "Bacterial small subunit ribosomal RNA", at positions 338 to 795 of the family's 1533-position model. Lineage: Bacteria; Pseudomonadati; Pseudomonadota; Gammaproteobacteria; Oceanospirillales; Halomonadaceae. The record is from RNAcentral.
CCUACGGGGGGCUGCAGUGGGGAAUAUUGGACAAUGGGGGGAACCCUGAUCCAGCCAUGCCGCGUGUGUGAAGAAGGCCCUCGGGUUGUAAAGCACUUUCAGUGAGGAAGAACGCCUGGUGGUUAAUACCCAUCAGGAAAGACAUCACUCACAGAAGAAGCACCGGCUAACUCCGUGCCAGCAGCCGCGGUAAUACGGUGGGUGCGAGCGUUAAUCGGAAUUACUGGGCGUAAAGCGCGCGUAGGUGGCUUGAUAAGCCGGUUGUGAAAGCCCCGGGCUCAACCUGGGAACGGCAUCCGGAACUGUCAAGCUAGAGUGCAGGAGAGGAAGGUAGAAUUCCCGGUGUAGCGGUGAAAUGCGUAGAGAUCGGGAGGAAUACCAGUGGCGAAGGCGGCCUUCUGGACUGACACUGACACUGAGGUGCGAAAGCGUGGGUAGCAAACAGGAUUAGAUACCCGGGUAGUC